This 253-nucleotide ribosomal RNA is filed under the name uncultured bacterium. Its description in RNAcentral is "partial 16S ribosomal RNA". It matches the Rfam family "Bacterial small subunit ribosomal RNA", at positions 524 to 776 of the family's 1533-position model. The record is from RNAcentral.
UACGUAGGGUCCAAGCGUUAAUCGGAAUUACUGGGCGUAAAGCGUGCGCAGGCGGUUUUGUAAGACGGAUGUGAAAUCCCCGGGCUCAACCUGGGAACUGCAUUCGUGACUGCAAGGCUAGAGUGUGUCAGAGGGAGGUGGAAUUCCGCGUGUAGCAGUGAAAUGCGUAGAGAUGCGGAGGAACACCGAUGGCGAAGGCAGCCUCCUGGGAUAACACUGACGCUCAUGCACGAAAGCGUGGGGAGCAAACAGG